UGCCCAGACUCCUACGGGAGGCAGCAGUGGGGAAUAUUGGGCAAUGGGGGAAACCCUGACCCAGCGACGCCGCGUGAGGGAAGAAGGUUUUCGGAUUGUAAACCUCUGUCCUUGGUGACGAUAAUGACGGUAGCCAAGGAGGAAGCCACGACUAACUACGUGCCAGCAGCCGCGGUAAUACGUAGGUGGCGAGCGUUGUCCGGAAUUACUGGGUGUAAAGGGAGCGUAGGCGGGUUGACAAGUCAGAUGUGAAAUCCUGCGGCUUAACCGCAGAACUGCAUUUGAAACUGUUGAUCUUGAGUACUGGAGAGGCAGACGGAAUUCCUAGUGUAGCGGUGAAAUGCGUAGAUAUUAGGAGGAACACCAGUGGCGAAGGCGGUCUGCUGGACAGCAACUGACGGUGAGGCGCGAAAGCGUGGGGAGCAAACAGGAUUAGAUACCCUAGUAGAC
RNAcentral lists this ribosomal RNA (450 nucleotides) under uncultured bacterium. Its description in RNAcentral is "partial 16S ribosomal RNA". It matches the Rfam family "Bacterial small subunit ribosomal RNA", at positions 328 to 795 of the family's 1533-position model. The record is from RNAcentral.